RNAcentral lists this ribosomal RNA (614 nucleotides) under Charybdis hellerii. RNAcentral's name for it is "partial 16S ribosomal RNA". It matches the Rfam family "Bacterial large subunit ribosomal RNA", at positions 1851 to 2727 of the family's 2925-position model. The record is from RNAcentral. Lineage: Eukaryota; Metazoa; Arthropoda; Malacostraca; Decapoda; Portunidae.
AGUCUAGCCUGCUCACUGAUAGAAAUUAUUAAAUAGCCGCGGUAUUUUGACCGUGCAAAGGUAGCAUAAUCAUUAGUUUUUUAAUUGAAAACUUGUAUGAAUGGUUGGACAAAGAARAGACUGUCUCUUGUGUUAUAAUUGAAUUUAACUUUUAAGUGAAAAGGCUUAAAUAUUCUAGAGGGACGAUAAGACCCUAUAAAGCUUUAUAAAUUUGAAGAUUUUGUGUAUUUUUAUAUAAAAAUGAAUUUUGAAGAUUUUAUUUGGUUGGGGCGACAAUGGUAUAAUGAGAAUAACUGCUAUUAAAAUUAACAAUUAUAUUUGAAUUAUUAGUAAUUGAUCCUUUAUAAGGAUUUUAAGAUCAAGUUACUUUAGGGAUAACAGCGUUAUUUUUCUUGAGAGUUCUUAUCAAAGGAAAAGUUUGCGACCUCGAUGUUGAAUUAAAAUGUCUAUAUAGUGCAGCAGCUAUAAAAGAAGGUCUGUUCGACCUUUAAUAUUUUACAUGAUUUGAGUUCAGACCGGCGGGAGCCAGGUCGGUUUCUAUCUUCUAGAUAAUAAAUAGGUACCUUAGUACGAAAGGAUUGGGUAGUUAAAAUUUUUUUUGAAAAAAUUGAAAU